RNAcentral lists this ribosomal RNA (465 nucleotides) under uncultured bacterium. RNAcentral describes it as "bacterial SSU rRNA". It matches the Rfam family "Bacterial small subunit ribosomal RNA", at positions 338 to 795 of the family's 1533-position model. The record is from RNAcentral.
CCUACGGGAGGCAGCAGUGGGGAAUAUUGGACAAUGGGGGCAACCCUGAUCCAGCGAUGCCGCGUGGGUGAAGAAGGCCUUCGGGUUGUAAAGCCCUUUAGGUUGGGAAGAAGUUGUGUAGGUUAAUAACCUACAUGAUUGACGGUACCGACAGAAUAAGCACCGGCAAACUCUGUGCCAGCAGCCGCGGUAAUACAGAGGGUGCAAGCGUUAAUCGGAGUUACUGGGCGUAAAGGGCGCGUAGGCGGUCAGAUGAGUGUGAUGUGAAAGCCCUGGGCUUAACCUAGGAAGUGCAUCGCAAACUAUUUGGCUGGAGUAUAUGAGAGGGUGGCGGAAUUUCCGGUGUAGCGGUGAAAUGCGUAGAGAUCGGAAGGAACGUCAAUGGCGAAGGCAGCCACCUGGCAUAAUACUGACGCUGAGGCGCGAAAGCGUGGGGAGCGAACAGGAUUAGAUACCCUUGUAGUC